GAUGAACGCUGGCGGCGUGCCUAAUACAUGCAAGUCGAGCGAACGGACGAGAAGCUUGCUUCUCUGAUGUUAUCGGCGGACGGGUGAGUAACACGUGGAUAACCUACCUAUAAGACUGGGAUAACUUCGGGAAACCGGAGCUAAUACCGGAUAAUAUUUUGAACCGCAUGGUUCAAAAGUAAAAGACGGUCUUGCUGUCACUUAUAGAUGGAUCCGCGCUGCAUUAGCUAGUUGGUAAGGUAACGGCUUACCAAGGCAACGAUGCAUAGCCGACCUGAGAGGGUGAUCGGCCACACUGGAACUGAGACACGGUCCAGACUCCUACGGGAGGCAGCAGUAGGGAAUCUUCCGCAAUGGGCGAAAGCCUGACGGAGCAACGCCGCGUGAGUGAUGAAGGUCUUCGGAUCGUAAAACUCUGUUAUUAGGGAAGAACAUAUGUGUAAGUAACUGUGCACAUCUUGACGGUACCUAAUCAGAAAGCCACGGCUAACUACGUG
Molecule: ribosomal RNA, 497 nt
Filed under: uncultured bacterium
Lineage: Bacteria
Description: partial 16S ribosomal RNA
Rfam family: Bacterial small subunit ribosomal RNA
Source: RNAcentral